UACAGAGGUGGCAAGCGUUGUUCGGAAUUACUGGGCGUAAAGGGCGCGUAGGCGGCCUUCUAAGUCAGACGUGAAAUCCCCCGGCUUAACCUGGGAACUGCGUCUGAUACUGGGAGGCUUGAGUAUGGGAGAGGGAUGUAGAAUUCCAGGUGUAGCGGUGAAAUGCGUAGAUAUCUGGAGGAAUACCGGUGGCGAAGGCGGCAUCCUGGACCAUAACUGACGCUGAGGCGCGAAAGCUAGGGGAGCAAACGGG
This 253-nucleotide ribosomal RNA is filed under the name uncultured bacterium. RNAcentral describes it as "partial 16S ribosomal RNA". It matches the Rfam family "Bacterial small subunit ribosomal RNA", at positions 524 to 776 of the family's 1533-position model. RNAcentral also lists the same sequence under 1 other name. The record is from RNAcentral.